Molecule: ribosomal RNA, 414 nt
Filed under: uncultured prokaryote
Description: partial 16S ribosomal RNA
Rfam family: Bacterial small subunit ribosomal RNA
Source: RNAcentral
GUGUCAGCCGCCGCGGUAAUACGUAGGUGGCAAGCGUUGUCCGGAAUUAUUGGGCGUAAAGCGCGCGCAGGCGGUUAUGUAAGUCUGAUGUUAAAGCCCGGGGCUCAACCCCGGUUCGCAUUGGAAACUGCGUAACUUGAGUGCAGAAGAGGAAAGCGGUAUUCCACGUGUAGCGGUGAAAUGCGUAGAGAUGUGGAGGAACACCAGUGGCGAAGGCGGCUUUCUGGUCUGUACCUGACGCUAAGAUGCGAAAGCGUGGGGAGCGAACGGGAUUAGAAACCCCGGUAGUCCACGCCGUAAACGAUGCGGACUAGGUGUGGGAGGUAUUGACCCCUUCCGUGCCGUAGCUAACGCGUUAAGUCCGCCGCCUGGGGACUACGGCCGCAAGGUUAAAACUCAAAUGAAUUGACGGGG